GCCUCGAUGGGCCGGAGAGGCUGCCGCCGUGCUUGAAACGGGGCGCGGUCGGGGCCCCGGGUCGGGGCCCCGCCGGUCGUGCUGGCGUGGGGGUC
This 95-nucleotide transfer RNA is filed under the name Methylobacterium crusticola. Its description in RNAcentral is "tRNA-Ser". Lineage: Bacteria; Pseudomonadati; Pseudomonadota; Alphaproteobacteria; Hyphomicrobiales; Methylobacteriaceae. The record is from RNAcentral.